GGGGCUGUAGCUCAGUGGUGAGAGCGCCUGACUCACAUUCAGGAGGUCACAGGUUCAAAUCCUGUCAGCCCCACCA
This 76-nucleotide transfer RNA is filed under the name Clostridia bacterium. RNAcentral describes it as "tRNA-Val". It matches the Rfam family "tRNA". From Rfam's summary of the family: Transfer RNA (tRNA) molecules are approximately 80 nucleotides in length. Their secondary structure includes four short double-helical elements and three loops (D, anti-codon, and T loops). Further hydrogen bonds mediate the characteristic L-shaped molecular structure. tRNAs have two regions of fundamental functional importance: the anti-codon, which is responsible for specific mRNA codon recognition, and the 3' end, to which the tRNAs corresponding amino acid is attached (by aminoacyl-tRNA synthetases). tRNAs cope with the degeneracy of the genetic code in two manners: having more than one tRNA (with a specific anti-codon) for a particular amino acid; and 'wobble' base-pairing, i.e. permitting non-standard base-pairing at the 3rd anti-codon position. Lineage: Bacteria; Bacillati; Bacillota; Clostridia. The record is from RNAcentral. RNAcentral also lists the same sequence under 1 other name.